Molecule: small RNA, 31 nt
Filed under: Bombyx mori (domestic silkworm)
Lineage: Eukaryota; Metazoa; Arthropoda; Insecta; Lepidoptera; Bombycidae
Description: ovarian small RNA-1745
Source: RNAcentral
GAAGUUCACGUUUUGUGCCUUGCAGGCACGG